RNAcentral lists this long non-coding RNA (276 nucleotides) under Homo sapiens (human). Its description in RNAcentral is "non-protein coding lnc-GSN-3:1". It matches the Rfam family "Metazoan signal recognition particle RNA". Rfam says of the family: The signal recognition particle (SRP) is a universally conserved ribonucleoprotein. It is involved in the co-translational targeting of proteins to membranes. The eukaryotic SRP consists of a 300-nucleotide 7S RNA and six proteins: SRPs 72, 68, 54, 19, 14, and 9. Lineage: Eukaryota; Metazoa; Chordata; Mammalia; Primates; Hominidae. The record is from RNAcentral.
GCUGGUAGUCUGCGCCUGUAAUCCUAGCUACUGGGGAGGCUGAGGAGAGAGGAUCGCUUGAGCCCAGGAGUUCUGGGCUGUAGUGCACUGUGUCACUAGAUAGAGUGUCUGCACUUAAGUUCAGGAGGGAGGGACCACCCAGGUUGCCUAAGGAGGGAUGAACCGGCCCAGGUCGGAGAUGGAGCAGGUCAAAACUCCCGUGCUGAUCAGUAAUGGGAUCAUACCUGUGAACAGCCACUGCACUCCAGCCUGGGCAACAUGGGGAGACCCUGUCUC